GAUGAACGCUGGCGGCGUGCCUAAUACAUGCGAGUCGAGCGAACGGACGAGAAGCUUGCUUCUCUGAUGUUAGCGGCGGACGGGUGAGUAACACGUGGAUAACCUACCUAUAAGACUGGGAUAACUUCGGGAAACCGGAGCUAAUACCGGAUAAUAUUUUGAACCGCAUGGUUCAAAAGUGAAAGACGGUCUUGCUGUCACUUAUAGAUGGAUCCGCGCUGCAUUAGCUAGUUGAUAAGGUAACGGCUUACCAAGGCAACGAUGCAUAGCCGACCUGAGAGGGUGAUCGGCCACACUGGAACUGAGACACGGUCCAGACUCCUACGGGAGGCAGCAGUAGGGAAUCUUCCGCAAUGGGCGAAAGCCUGACGGAGCAACGCCGCGUGAGUGAUGAAGGUCUUCGGAUCGUAAAACUCUGUUAUUAGGGAAGAACAUAUGUGUAAGUAACUGUGCACAUCUUGACGGUACCUAAUCAGAAAGCCACGGCUAACUACGUG
This 497-nucleotide ribosomal RNA is filed under the name uncultured bacterium. Its description in RNAcentral is "partial 16S ribosomal RNA". It matches the Rfam family "Bacterial small subunit ribosomal RNA", at positions 28 to 507 of the family's 1533-position model. The record is from RNAcentral.